UCUUUCCACCCGAGCGCGAGGUAGACGCCGGGGCCACCCGCAGCACGCAGAGCUUCUGGGAGCCGGUGGCAAGGCCGAAUUGGGAUGCAAACCAAAUGGACGUGGGUGACUGGCAGAAAACGCCUCCCACAAAUGGGAGGGAUUUCGGAGGGAACCGAAAGAAAGUUGUAGGCAAUUUGUGCGAGCAAGGGGCUCUUCUCCACACAGACACUCAGGGACCACAGUCUCCACCAUCUUAUAGAGGCACUUCCUUGAACAUGUGGUCCUCUCAGCGCCUGCAGCAGAAGAGAGCACUGGAGAGUGCCUGUCCUUGGAAUUAGUUCUUCUUCCCUAAUUAGAGUACCUCCUAACAUGGUGCCUUCACCCUUCAGCCCAAUAAGUGUUCACAAAACUGACCAGACCACGGAAAUUCCUUCUCCUUGGGCAACUGAAGAAGAGGAUAAAGAGAAAGAAAGGAGGCUUGAAUGUUUUCCUUUCAAGGCAAUAUGUUACUUACUUAAUAUUAGAAUUAACUAAUUAAAAAACCUCUUAGCUUCUCCUAUGGGCAGACAUUCUUCAAAGUUACCAUAUCAGGACUGGAGGCAAAUAAUAAAUAUCUAAUGGUACAACAGGCCACAGUUUUUACUAUCCUAGUGAAAUCUGCAUACUUUCAAAAUUAAAUCUGCUUGAUUCCACCCACUAGAGUUUGCAGGUAACAACAAUGACAUAAUGAUGAUGUCGACAGCAAUGGGUCUUGCUGAUUCAGUGCUUACUAUUACCUGUCACAAUACUAACUGCAAUGUACUGCUCAUUUCUCACAACAAACCAGAGGAUGAGAUGUUAUUCCUCUCCAUUUUGUAGAUAAGCUGACUGGGGUACAGAGAGGUAAAGCGGCUUACCUAAAGACACACAGCAAGUGACAGGC
RNAcentral lists this long non-coding RNA (904 nucleotides) under Homo sapiens (human). Its description in RNAcentral is "PREDICTED lncRNA (TCONS_00096261)". The record is from RNAcentral. Lineage: Eukaryota; Metazoa; Chordata; Mammalia; Primates; Hominidae.